RNAcentral lists this ribosomal RNA (465 nucleotides) under Triticum aestivum (bread wheat). RNAcentral's name for it is "partial small subunit ribosomal RNA". The record is from RNAcentral. Lineage: Eukaryota; Viridiplantae; Streptophyta; Magnoliopsida; Poales; Poaceae.
AUGUUGCUAGGUAUCCUGGGUGCAAGUAUGACAUACCAGACUGGCCUAAAACCACCAGGCGGCUUGUGGCAGGACAACUCCGAAGGACACUCAGCUGGCAACCCCAUCCUCCACGACAUCAACAAGCACCGGUACAAUGCUUUCUUCUACAGCAACUCCACUUCCUUCAUGGCCUCAAUCGUAGUCGUCAUCAUGCUGCUGCCAUUGACCAUCAAAAAGUAUCAUGAUCUCCAUCUGCCAUUCUGGCCGAUGCACACAGCCAUUUUAUUGGACAUGCUUAGCCUCUUAGUGGCCUACACUGCAGGCAGUACUAGGAAAUGGGAAACCUCCAGAAACGUCAUGUUCCUCAUCAUUCCUGUGUUUCUCUACAUUGCGGUCUACGUAGCAGCGUCGGUCUUCUACCACAGGAAAGACCAUGUAUUGAUAAGGUCAAACGCAACAGUAGCCCGCUUAGUGACAGAAUGA